GUUCAAUUCUUUUGGUAUAUGAUUAAAGUGCUUCUCUUUAGAAAAGUAGUCUCAAUUUCUGGGUUUUACCAGUUUCUUGGCCCUGAUCACGUGUCAUUUCCUGUUGGGUGUUUUUGUUCUCACUCUCUUGGUAUUUUUACUGUUAUUGGUCAUUUAUUGUUCAUCUCCCCAGCUCAAAUUUUGAUGUUUCAUCUUCUUUUGCUGCUCUGUUUUGUAUCUGCGUGCAGAUGUUUUGUCAAAAAGAAGUUAGAAUGAUGUGUGGUAUCGCUGGUUGAUAUAGAAAUUAAGUUUCUGUUCACUUUUAGGUACUUUAUGUUUUGUUGAUUCAAUUUUGUUUCAAUGGAAUAAUGCUGUUUGUGGUAUUUGGAUGUCUUCCUUUGAAGGAUCUUAAUUUGGAGAAACUGGUUGGAGGGUGAAUGCUGUUAAAUUGGCAUCAAUGGCGGAGUUGAUUGGGCCAAGAUUGUACAGUUGCUGUAAUUGUAGAAACCAUGUUGCCCUUCACGAUGAUGUCAUUUCCAAGGCUUUUCAGGUGAAGCUUAAAGCUUUUUCUAAUUUGGGUGCACUUUGUAUUGAAUCUGUUCUGCGUUUCAUCAAGUAGCAACCAGAAAGCACUGUUAAAAAAGUGAAAUAACAAAAGGAAUGAGAAUUGUAUUUAGAAUUUGAUGUCUGUCAUGGCUUGGGACUUUAACAGAAUUAAGAACCGAAUUAAGACUCAUGUAGCUAAUGAAAAUUGGUUUUGUCUAUUUUCCAUUGCUUGAAGGUGACCUUACUUGAAGGAUUUGAUACGCGUUUGCUCCAACAUUUUUGCUUAAUUUAAGCUGCAUGAUCAACUAUUUCUUUUCUUGCAUCCAAUAAAUUAUCAUAUUGUCAUCUUAGGGGAGACAUGGUCGAGCCUUUUUAUUCUCUCAUGCAAUGAACAUUAUGGUUGGGCCAAAGGAGGACAGGCAGCUAAUGACUGGCCUCCACACAGUUGCUGAUGUCUAUUGUUGUGACUGUAAUGAGGUGCUUGGUUGGAAAUAUGAACGAGCUUAUGAGGAAGCACAAAAGUACAAGGAAGGGAAGUUCAUACUUGAGAAAUCUAAAAUAGUAAAGGAAAACUGGUAGCAGUCAUGCGGCAUUUUGUUCAUCUCUCAUUGUGUUGGUGUAAGUGUAUGGAUGCUACUACAUAUUCAUCUUGUCCAAGAAGAUCUCAUCAAUUGCAAAUAUUCCCUUGUUCUUCAACGUGCAUUGUUGUUGCGUUCUUUAUGUGGAUAUUGUAUUGGAUUGUUUAGUUUGUCGAUACAUUGUGAAUAAUUCUCUCUGUAAUGUUAUUUUUUGUGCUAUUGAAUUUGAAUUUUUAGCGGCUAAGGAGAUUUCUUAUGUGCAUCCAUCUUAGAUUAGUAAUGCUGGUUGUUUGGAGUGUUUUCAUGACCAACUCAAUUUUUUCCUCUCUUAAGCAGAAUGGAAGUAAUGGAGUUUGCCUUAACAUCUACUUUGAUGGAGUAAUUGCAGACUUAUCAUCUGUUGUGAGUGAAAAGAGGCAAAAGCAUGAUACUUUCCAAUGAAAUAAUGAAAAUUUUACCAACUUAAAUGCAGACUAUCUAUGCCUUGGACACAUAAUGAUGGUCUGAUAAAGAACUUGAUGUUGUCGUAACUGUAGGCAAUAGGCAAUUGGCUAAAGUGAUACGUCAAAUAAUUGCAAAAUAUCCAGUUGAGGGGGAAAAAAUCUUCAUAUUAGAACAGCAUGUCUCUUAUUAUAUUAAAACCAUUUGAGAAUUGAGAAUAUGUUCAAAUGCUGAAUGUGUCUGAUACUAGUUUGUUUACAUUGAAAACUGAUAAGAAAAAAGAGGUGCAUGAUAGUGAGCGAACAAGAAAUUUUAAAGAAGUGACUUAGGUAACAGUGUGAAGAAGAGCUGACUGAGGCGCUAUCAGGCGUGUAUUUGAAUGUGGAACCUUUGUGUGCUGCUUAAUUAGGAGAGUGCAAAAGGUGAAUUGCUGUAAAUUUGGUCAGCGUAAGAUCUUAAUUUUUGGGGAAGUUUGGAGACACUUCUUUUCAUAUAAAGUUGCAACUCUGCUUGCUUCCUGCAUAAUUAGUGAAGUGCAAACUGGAUGUUAUUCAAACGAGGCAUGUCUAGUUAUACUCCUUGAAGUAAGGAGGUUUCCUUUGUCAGUCAUAACCAAGUGUAAUGCUCAAAAAUUUGGAGCUGCCAUCUCGGCAAUAAUAGUAAGCUUUGGUUAUUAAAUCUUUGUGGAAAGCUCAUUAUAUUUGCUGCACUUGUUGCUUCAGUAUUU
Molecule: unclassified non-coding RNA, 2271 nt
Filed under: Hevea brasiliensis (rubber tree)
Lineage: Eukaryota; Viridiplantae; Streptophyta; Magnoliopsida; Malpighiales; Euphorbiaceae
Source: RNAcentral